Molecule: long non-coding RNA, 2576 nt
Filed under: Gallus gallus (chicken)
Lineage: Eukaryota; Metazoa; Chordata; Aves; Galliformes; Phasianidae
Description: lncRNA (ENSGALG00000049635.1)
Source: RNAcentral
CUAGUCAGCACAGGAAAGCCCUGGCUGGUAGCUAAUUAGGAUCAGAUGGGCGGAGGUAGGCUCAGCACAAUGAGCACACUAUAGGUUAACUCAGCCAGAUACUAUUCUGGAGAAGCAGAGGAUCUGAGAAAUGCUGCUUUCACUUGGACCACACGGCCUUCUGAGUGGUCGAAAGGGAACCCACUGCAGUAAGGGGAUCCCCAAACACCAAACUGAGGUCCCCAUCGAUGGGCUGUCAGACCCAGAAACAGCCUGGAAAGUAGGUGUGAGCUCCCCAGUCUGUUUACUUGGCUCUGUCAUUCCCAGCACUGAGCAUCAGAAAGGCAGACUGCUACUGAGUUCUUAAGCAGAGACUGUCCUGCUUUCCCCUGUUACCAUGUAACGGUUGUAGAGUGAAGCUUAUCAAUGGAUAAUAUUGCUGCUGUUGAAAAGGGAGAAAAAUUUCCAACAUCUCAAACUGGAAGAGUAAGAUGAAUGUUUUAUCUACCUUGUAUUUAAAAGUCCCUGAAGCAAAGGCAGGCUUAUUAAACAGUGAAGACAUUAAGAGGCACUAUUUCUAAGACAACUGCAUGCAAACUAAGACAGCUACAGGAAGAGUGGUGGCAUCCUGACCCUUCUGGCUGUUCUGCUGACUCCAGCUCUUCUCUCUGGGAAUGGCCAAGUCUCUCUCCAAACGCACCCCAGCAUCUGCAGGCAGGAUGCUGACAGAUUUGCUUUGAUGUUGGUUGAGAGCUGCUUCAUGCUGCAGCGAAUAUUCUUAGGUCAUAGGAGGAGGAUGUGGCACAACAAUAUUCUGUCGUCCCCAGACCCACAAGACACAGAAGGCGAACUCUGCUGAGCUGUGAAUGAUAAUUUGUCACAGAAUCUAUGGCAUUUUUCAAUGAGAAGCCUUUGCAUACAAUUGUUCUGUGCCCUUCUACUCCAAUACUGUAUCAGACUACCAGGGUGUUUCAAAACUAUGCUUUGCGAUUGCACCUUCAGGAGGAAACUCCUCCUCACCUUCCAUCUCAUCUGUUCUCUGGCUGCUGUUGUACUUUAUGUAGGUUCUGUUUUUACAGCUAGAGUAGAAAUGAGAAGCUAAUGGGGCAGCUGUUACACGGGUGAAGGUGCUGCUGAAAUCCCAAAGAACAAUUCCAAUGUCAGAAUGCUGACCGUUCAAUUAGUUUACUUUCCUUGUGCAGGUGUCUCCUUGGGUAAAUUCAGAAUAACCUCAGCCUGCUCUCCAGCAUAUGAUCUAAAUGUUGGUAUCUAACAUGGAGAAAAUCUAUCCGAUUCCUGAAUUCCUUAGUGAGCUGUACAAAAGAAGCUUGUCUUCAGAUUUCCUUUGCACUCUUACAUGUAUUUAAAGCUUUUUUCUGUAUAAUGAAAGAUUCUCUCAUUUUUCUGAAUGGCAUUACUGUUGGUUAACAUGCCAACAAGGAAGCAAACACUUUUCUAGCCAGCUACGUUUUGCUACUCCUUCCCUUUGUCUCCCCACUCCCUUUUACUCCCCCCAGUAGGAUUUUUGCAAUACAUUUCUAGAAAUAACAUAUGCAUUCUGACACAAAACCAUAUCUCCAACAGUAACAAUAAAUUAGACACUGUGGGAAUUUAAGCUUGUUCUUUUGUCCAAGGUGAGACAGUGAAGUCAUUGGUAAUGAAGAAUAAAACAAUUGUUAUGCAGCAUUUCUGUGUUAAGCACUGCUCCCCAUGUUAUCCCGUGUAUGAAAGAGAAUGCUUGGGGAGCUUUGUUACUAUCGCACUUGGUCAAAGCACAUGAGAAUAUCCUCUUAUUUGCAUAGCAGGGAUUUCCUGAAGUACAAACCAGCUUCCUCAAGCCUUUCUACCUCACAAGACAUGGCAUAGUUUGAUCGUUAAUCAAAAUAAAGUCCAAAUCAAUAAACAUGCAUAAUCAAGGCUCUCUGAUUCCAGUAUGUAAAUGCACUACAUAUUGAUGAAAUGUUUCUGAAUCUAAAAUGGUUUUGUUUUUUUCCUCCUCUCGGAAGUCCCUAAGCCUUUUAAUUUUAAUAUUUUAUGCAUUGCUAUACAAACAAUGUAAGACUUCGUCCAUGUAUCAGAGAUAACAAGUUAGAAGAUGAAUGCUCCAAAUACUUCUCAUUCACUUUGUGGACUUGACAGCACUUUAUGCAUUUGCAUGGCUGGUAAUUACUUGACCUGCAAAGGCCCAACUUUGCACAUGGUGAAAGCAAUCGCUCUGCCAUGCACUUUCUUGCUAUAGUAUCAGAGCUCAGGCUGUCAGGAUGCUGGGUCCUCUGCCAGUGCCAGUGGUUACAGUGUGAAAAUCAGUUGUUUCUUAUGUGCACGGCAAUGGAGAUGUUGCAUAAGGAGGGGACUAAAGUGCUGCUCAGUCAGGACAGGUUUGUGCCCGUGGUGUGUGACUGGGAGCGGUGCCAGGGCACUGUUCAUGGAGGUGCAGAUCCCUGGAUCUAAAUCUGGUAGGAGCUCGUGGAUCGUGCAAGUAAUUAUUGCUGUAUACUUAAUACUGUCCUAUAUGGAUUAUAAUUCCUAUCAAAAAUAUACAUGCUGUGAUGUAGGGAUUGUUGCAGUCUGAAGAUGCGUCCAAAAAUAAACAUUUU